Non-coding RNA from Kogia breviceps (pygmy sperm whale), 1726 nucleotides. The record is from RefSeq and is a predicted model, not a curated record. Lineage: Eukaryota; Metazoa; Chordata; Mammalia; Artiodactyla; Physeteridae.
AGGGUAGAUCAGUGCUUCCCAGGGGCUGUGGUGUAUCAGAAUCACACGGGAGAUUUGUUUUGUAAGUGCUGAGGACCCAUUCCAAAGAUUCUAAUGUAGUAGCUCUGGGUUCUAGAGAGCGGUUUGGAGAAGCGCAGGAAGAGAAGCCAAGAAAACUGUUAGUUUGGUGUCAUACCAGUGAUGCGUGGCCCAGAUUAGGACAGUGGCUGGAGAGAUGUGAGGGCACUUCCUACAGGUGCAUGGCUAGGUCGUGUCCGAGAAGCAGCCAUCCUGGCGGAACCUCAUGGAGCUCAGGGCCGUUACCACGAGCAGCAGCUGUGACAGCUGAUCCAUCACGCUUCACUCUGUGGUGCGUCUUUACUUAGUGCACGAUUCCGUUACUACAGCACCGCAUGGCUUGCAGGAUCUUGGUUCCCCGGCCAGGGGUCAGGCCUGAGCUCCUGUGGUGGGAGAGCUGAGUCCAAACCACUGGAUUAACAGAGAACCUCAGACCCCAGGGAAUAGUAAUCAGAGUGAGGUCUCCCGGAGGUCCUCAUCGGGGCACCAAGACCAGGCUCUACCCGACUGCCUGCAAACUACAGUGCUAGACGCCUCAGGCCAAACAACCAGUAAGACAGCAAUACAGCCCCACCCAUCAAAAAACACGAGACAACAAAAAAUUAUGUUACAGACGAAGAAGCAAGGUAAAAACCAACAAGACCAAAUAAAUGAAAAGGAAAUAGGCAACUCACCUGAAAAAGAAUUUGGGCUAAUGAUAGUAAAGGUUACCCAAAAUCUCACAAACAGAAUGGAGAAAAUACAAGAAAUGUUUCAUAAGGACCUAGAAGAACUAAAGAGCAAACAAACAGUGAUGAACAACACAGUAACUGAAAUUAAAAAUACUCUAGAAGGAAUCAAUAGCAGAAAAACUGAGGUAGAAGAAUGGAUAAGUGAGUUGGAAGAGAAAAUGGUGGAAAUAAUGGCUGUGGAGCACAGUAAGGAAAAAAGAAUGAAAAUAAUUGAGGACAGUCUCAGAGACCUCUGGGACAACACUAAACAAACCAACAUUCAGAUUAUAGGUGUCCCAAAAGAAGAAGAUAAAGAGAAAAGGUCUGAGAAAAUAUUUGAAGAGAUUAUAGUUGAAAACUUCCCUAACAUGGGAAAUGAAAUACCACCUAAGUCCAGGAAGCACAGAGAGUCCCAUACAGGAUAAACCCUAGGAGAAACACACCAAGACACAUAUUAAUCAAACUAACAAAAAUUAAAUUCAAAGAAAGAAUAUUAAAAGCAGCAAUGGAAAAGCAACAAAUAACAUAGAAGGGAAUCCCUAUAAGGUUAUCAGUUGAUUUCUCAGAAGAAACUCUGCAGGCCAGAAGGCAGUGGCAGGAUAUAUUUAAAGUGAUAAAAGGGAAAAACCUACAACCAAGAUUAUUCUACCCAGCAAGGAUCUCAUUCAGAUUCAAUGGAGAAAUCAAAAACUUUACAGACAAGCAAAAGCUAUGAGAAUUCAGCACCACCAAACCAGCCGUACAACAAAUGCUAAAGGAACUUUUCUAAGAGGCAAACACAAGAGAAGAAAAAGACCCACAAAAACAAACCCAAAUCAAUUAAGAAAAUGGUAAUAGGAACACAUAUAUCGAUAAUCACCUUGAAUGUAAAUGGAUUAAAUAUUCCAACCAAAAGACUCAGACUGGCUGAAUGGAUAGAAAGACAAUACCCGAAUAUAUGCUGUCUACAAGAAACCCAC